CCUGCAAUUCUUUGUCCAUAUUCAUCCCGAGCUUCUGAAGCUCCUCUAUGUCCUUGAUCAUUGUCAAACGAUGAUCAUUGAUGGCCUACCCAUCAUGCAUUUUCGCUCUAAAAAAUCUCUUGAAGACCUCAAAAUGAGCCGUGUGACUCUGUUCACCAUACAACUCUUGCAAGUGAACCAGCAUCUCCCUGACAGUCCUCAU
RNAcentral lists this long non-coding RNA (202 nucleotides) under Elaeis guineensis (African oil palm). Its description in RNAcentral is "long non-coding RNA (EGUI_LNC008882)". The record is from RNAcentral. Lineage: Eukaryota; Viridiplantae; Streptophyta; Magnoliopsida; Arecales; Arecaceae.